Long non-coding RNA from Equus caballus (horse), 2530 nucleotides. Lineage: Eukaryota; Metazoa; Chordata; Mammalia; Perissodactyla; Equidae. The record is from Ensembl.
CCACUGCCCUCUCUAGAUACAUCUGUCAUUAACAGUUUAUGGUCUAUCUUUCCAGAUCAUUUUCUGUGUGUUUAUGUACAUAUAUAUGUGAGGGUACAAAAGUAUAAGUUUUGCUUUUACUUUUAGUGAAAGUGACUUUAUGGUAUAAUCUUCUUUUACUUAACGAUACGAUUUGUAAAUCAUUCCAUAUAGAUCAACUUCACUUUUAAAAAUUGAUGUGUGGAAAUCCAUCGUAUGGAUGAACCAUGAGUUAUUCAACCACUUUCAUGAUGUACUCUUAGAUGGUUUUAUAACUCCUUACUCUUACAAAUAGUGCCACAGACAACAUCCACCUCUACAUCUCCUUGUACAGGAUUUCAAACCUUACAAACAUGGAUGCUUUACAAGAAUCUACUAUGGAAAUUGACGACAUUCCAUAUCUGCUCUUUGGCUACCUGUAAACAUGAAAAGUAAUGCUGUCACUGGUCCCCAUUUCCAGAUGCUAAGCCUCUGCUUUAAUUUGGGUCAUUAUGCUUCUUUUUCACUACUCAACUAGUUCCGCUGAAAUAACACAAUCUUCAACUUGUUUUUCUCUCUAUUGAAAAAGUACCACAGAAUCAAUAGAAUAAGGCAAAUCCAAAGUAUUGAUCAACAUAUGAGCAUAUUUUUAGUAUCGUUAUUUCAGAGAAUAAAGUUGAAACUCACAGUUCUUCAUCUGAAUAACUGUAGGAGGGCAGCGUUUUUCUUGUCAGUGGAGUCCUGGCCCUGGUUCUCUCAGUGGUGGUUACGCACAGCAGCAGCAUGCUUAGAUUACCAUCGUCAAGAUGAGGACUUGAAUUGCUCCCUUCCAUCUGUACAGGGCGCCUCAAUGGAGCACUGGCUUCUUGUUCAGAACACAGUGACCAGUUCUCUUGUCACUUGUUUGUUGCUACCCAGUUUAGUGGUUCACCACUGUGGUUACUCCAUGCUCCCUUCUCUGCUUCCAUCGCUUCUACCACUAGCAUCUACAUCAUAUUCUCUCUCUCAUCCAAACCACUUUCCAGCAGAGUGCAUAUUCAGUACUUCCAUCAGGCAGAGUUCCCGUGCCAGGCUGUCUCAUUGAUCACGGGAGAGAUGAGCUCCUUUGGGUCAGGUGCUCAUCCCUAGUCCUAUCAGCUGUGUCCAGGGGAGCAUGACCACGUGAUAUAAGCUUAGAACUCAGGGAAUUUCAAAGAGGGGGCCGUGAUGGAUAUUCAGUGACAUCUCAGAAGGGGACAGAGUAACUGGCAGGCCCUUUGCAUGCCAAUCUGGCGUAUCUGGAAAGGGCAUCCUGCUAAAACUUUUGUUGGGAAACUCCUUGUCAGUAUUUUCAGGCUGCAGGAGCAACAGAGGGAAUCACUGAAAUUACAUCUGAUUAUAAUGUGUUUCUCAGGGAAAUAAAUAGCCCAAACUGAAGCACACUUCCGGUUGUCAAUUUUUCACAAGCAUCCUGGAACUCAGUGACAGUUCUUGAAGAUUGAUAUAGACCUCUGACAGUGAAUUGAUUGUUCCAGCAGAGAUCUUUAAUGAGAUUGUGCACACUAUUAAGGAACCACCAUCUCCAGCAUAUUACAAUGACAAUGGCGAGAUCUUGUGAAUACGGAAAGCAAGGCAACUUUCCUGCUCAUUUCUUUUUAAAAGCACCAACCCCUAGCAGCAAGGCCUUCUUGUUAAUUAGUUGUUAAUUAUUGGGACAGCUCGUGAAAUGUUUGUUAAAGAGCUGGCCCACUAGCAAAGAAAAGAACCCAGAGAAAAAGACUGAAUUGAAGAGUAAUAAAAGGAAUGAGCUAGUUUUUACACAGUUGACUGGCACCAAGGAAAUUCUAGCAACUUACUCUUCUGGUACAAGAUGACAGACUGAGAAACACAUGUAACAGAGCAUAAAUGAACUGCCCAAGGUCACCUUUCUAGUUGGUGUCCCAAGAAAUCAAUUUAGCCCAGAGAUCUCAUCACCACCAGGCCCUGUUGAAAACCAAGCGUUACGCUCAUUCCUCUUUCAAGUUUUACUAUCUGGACUCAGUGGUUCUCAAACUUCAGCCUGAAUAAAGAUCACCUGGAGGCCUCCUUCCCAGAGAUUCUGAUUCAUUAGGUCUGAGGUAGGGCCCAGGAAUCUGCAUUUUUAAGAAAUGCUGUAUGAGUUCUCUUGCAAGCAUCCUAGGACCACACUUGAGGAACUCUGAUCUACACAUUUUCUCACUAGCUCCCUCGGAGAGAUGCAUGUCCUCAUCUCUCCAAAUUACGGGCUUUAUUUCUCCGUUUUGGUGAUCCACUUGCAGAGCAGCUUGACUGAUGCCUCUCCUCACCCAACCUGACUCCUGAGAUUCUUCUCCUCUCACCUUGCCUCUGGCAGGGAAGAUGGAGGGAACCGGGGAAAGAGCGGACCCCCAUCAGAUCUGUCUACCAGUGCAAUCUCUCCAUUGCAUUGCCUGUGAACAUUCUUUGAAUGGAUCUGGAAAAAGCCCAGGUCAUCUGGGGCCAGUUCUGGAGAACUGGGUUUAUGAUCAAGUGAGGAAUUACAGUUUAGAAUCAAAAG